AGCGGAGAUGAGGUGCUUGCACCUUAUCUUAGCGGCGGACGGGUGAGUAAUGCUUAGGAAUCUGCCUAUUAGUGGGGGACAACAUUCCGAAAGGAAUGCUAAUACCGCAUACGUCCUACGGGAGAAAGCAGGGGAUCUUCGGACCUUGCGCUAAUAGAUGAGCCUAAGUCGGAUUAGCUAGUUGGUGGGGUAAAGGCCUACCAAGGCGACGAUCUGUAGCGGGUCUGAGAGGAUGAUCCGCCACACUGGGACUGAGACACGGCCCAGACUCCUACGGGAGGCAGCAGUGGGGAAUAUUGGACAAUGGGGGGAACCCUGAUCCAGCCAUGCCGCGUGUGUGAAGAAGGCCUUAUGGUUGUAAAGCACUUUAAGCGAGGAGGAGGCUACUGAGACUAAUACUCUUGGAUAGUGGACGUUACUCGCAGAAUAAGCACCGGCUAACUCUGUGCCAGCA
Molecule: ribosomal RNA, 454 nt
Filed under: uncultured bacterium
Lineage: Bacteria
Description: bacterial SSU rRNA
Rfam family: Bacterial small subunit ribosomal RNA
Source: RNAcentral